UACGAAGGGGGCUAGCGUUGCUCGGAAUUACUGGGCGUAAAGCGCACGUAGGCGGAUUGUUAAGUCGGGGGUGAAAUCCUGGAGCUCAACUCCAGAACUGCCUUCGAUACUGGCGAUCUAGAGUCCGGGAGAGGUGAGUGGAACUGCGAGUGUAGAGGUGAAAUUCGUAGAUAUUCGCAAGAACACCAGUGGCGAAGGCGGCUCACUGGCCCGGUACUGACGCUGAGGCGCGAAAGCCAGGGGAGCAAACGGG
RNAcentral lists this ribosomal RNA (253 nucleotides) under uncultured bacterium. Its description in RNAcentral is "partial 16S ribosomal RNA". It matches the Rfam family "Bacterial small subunit ribosomal RNA", at positions 524 to 776 of the family's 1533-position model. The record is from RNAcentral.